RNAcentral lists this ribosomal RNA (405 nucleotides) under uncultured bacterium. Its description in RNAcentral is "partial 16S ribosomal RNA". It matches the Rfam family "Bacterial small subunit ribosomal RNA", at positions 28 to 527 of the family's 1533-position model. The record is from RNAcentral.
GACGAACGCUGGCGGCGUGCUUAACACAUGCAAGUCGAGCGGAGCGGCGAACGGGUGAGUAACGCGUGAGUAACUGCCCCCCUCUCUGGGAUAACAGUUGGAAACGGCUGCUAAUACCGGAUAGUGGGGGAUGACUCGCGUCCUAUCAGCUUGUUGGUGGGGUAGUGGACUACCAAGGCGACGACGGGUAGCCGGCCUGAGAGGGCGACCGGCCACAUUGGGAUGAUAUACGGCGCUAACGCCUACGGGAGGCAGCAGGGGGGAAUAGUGAACAAUGGGGGAAGCCCUGAUGCAGAAACGCCGCGUUCGGGAUGACGGCUUUCGGGUUGUAAACCGCUUUCAGCCAUGACGCGGUAUUGGCAGAAGAAGCACCGGCUAACUACGUGCCAGCAGGCGCGGUAAUUG